ACCCACCUGAAAUUUGCCUCAUGAAAAUGAACUGCUGUUCCCAAAGAAUGUCAGUAGGUGGCACUAUGAGAUUGUUUAGUGCUUGUGAACUUGAGUUGAUACAGAGAAGGAGAAUAGCGCUAAGGCUACGUAUGUUGGUCGGAGCUACUCACCGAGAGUUCUUUAAUCCUUGUUCAAGAAAAAGGUUAUGUGUGAAGACACAAAUUGGAUUUCACUCUUCCGCUUGUUGGGAAACGCGGACACUUUUUGUUGAUGCCGAUGUACCUCUGUUUUUGUGGUUUUUGUUCAUUUCCGGUUGGUUUUUUUGUUGGAGUCUAAAGUUGCGAGCCAGGAUUCCGGAUCCCCAGCUGCAAUGCAGGAAAGGUUUCCAGCCUACUUAGAAGUGACAACUGCGUUACUUCUUGACAGAUAAGCUUAUGAGAUCUCAGAACAAUACACUACCCGGGUAGUACUACUAACAUUAACACUACACACACUCACACACCUGAACUGAAAAGACUGAAAAGAACUCUGAACUCUGAACUCUAAACUGAAUACACGGACUGACAAAUAUGGACUAUUGGAACUGUUGUGAACUGUUGAAUGACUGUUUUUGUUUUUGUUUUGAAUAAAUGUUGACUGUUCUUUUAGCUGUGUGUCAUUCGCUCCUUAGUCGAUUCCUAGAGAACAUAAGCCCAAGAUCCUAACUUUCUCUACAUUCAGUAGUGGUAAAGUAUCGUGUGUUACAUAGUAUCCUUUUGUGGCGAGCCAGCCAGGAGCGAUUAAGACACAGCUAAUAUUGAAAUUACAGCAUUCUGCAAUAGUAUUGUUAAUUGUGAAAUUGUGAUUUAUUGUGAUAAGCUUUCAAUUAAGACAACAUUGAAAAGUGAUGGAUUUAGCACAGAACUACGGGGUGGAUUUUAAACGGUCCAUCAGUAUUACUGGAGUUACUAGUCUAGAUUCUGAUGCUGAUAUCAUUGCUUCCUUGGAGAAGUAUGGGGUGGUAACAAGGAUUCUGAGGGUCCCAAAUGCACAACCAGAGUGUGGGGAAACUGUUAUUGCUGAGUUUGAGUCAGAGAUUACAAUGGGGGAUAACGAGUCAGAUUUUCCCCUUGAGAUUGAAAAUGUGACCAACAAGAAUGUAAAAUGGCAGGCUAGUCGCAUUGGAAUGCCAGCACUCCAUCAAACUCCAGAGCCAGAUCCUGUUUUGUCUGACUCAAGUGAUGAAAAUGUUGACAGUUAUUCUGACCACAGUACUACACCCUUGAUAAAGACAGCAAAGCUAAAGUACGACCACCGACGGCCCCUUACAUCCCAGCCAGUCACCCAUUCAGCCAAAUCUCAGACUUGUAGAGUUGUUAAACCAAAGACUACUCCAACCAAACUUCCAGUGGUGACAGAUGAAGUAACUAACCCACCAGAGAUACAGCGUAUAGUAGUGGAACAUGUAAUCAGAAAUGACUCUGUCGCUACACAUAGCCAGUCCAAAUGGUUACGCUCAUUCUCAGGCCGUGUGCCAAAACCCCCCGGAGAAGUGGAUUUUGAAACAUGGUGUUUACAUGUUGAACUAAUGUUCAGUGAUGGCACUCCAGUUGACAUUCAGCGAAGGAAAAUACUAGAGAGUCUUCUUCCCCCAGCAUCAGAUGUUGUGAAGCAACUUGGUUAUUCAGCACAUCCACGAGAAUAUGUCAGGCUGUUAGAUUCUGCAUAUGGUCUUGUUGAGGAUGGUGAGGAGAUAUUUGCAAGGUUCCUGAACACAAAUCAAAAUCCAGGUGAGAAAGCUUCUGAUUAUCUACAGAGGCUGCAAGCUCUCCUUAACACUGCUGUAAGCAGGAAUGGUGUGAUUCCAGCAGAUGCAAGCCGACAUUUGCUAAAGCAGUUCAAACGGGGUUGUUGGGACCAUAACUUGGUCCUGCAACUAGAACUAAAGAAAGAGACCACACCUGAGUUUGCAGAGCUUCUGCUAGAGCUGAGGACCGAAGAGGACAGAAGGGCUUCUAAACUGGACCGGAUGCAACGUCAAUUUGGGCCUACCAAGACAAAGCCAAUUGCGCACAUGCAUUCUGUCCCUGACUUCCCACAUCACACUGACCCAAGUGCAAGUGUAUUGCAGGCCUAUAUCUCUGAAACUGAGAGUCUAAAGAAGCAGGUUGCAGAACUGCAAUUGCAACUGAUGACAAAGCCAUCUAAAAAGCCAAGAAAGCGACAAGUUAAAGCAAUGGAAAAAACACAAGAGCCACCCGCACCUGUAAUUGAAACUCUGGUACACCAAAUUCCACCACGAACCCAAGUGAGAGCUGAGCCCAAGGCUUGGUUCUGUUUUAGGUGCGGUGAAGACGGUCACAUAGCCAGGAACUGCGAAAAUGCUAUAAACAAGGCUGUGGUUGAUCAAAAGUACAAAGAACUAAAAGCCAGACAGGAAGAAUGGAAAGCCCAGCAGCAGGGUCAAGCUUUAAACUGGAGCAGGUUCCGGUAAUGGGACAUACGGGAACCAAGAACAUUCACAAGAGUCCCAAGUCAGAACAGAGAUGUCAAAGUAAACAACAACACGCUGAAUGCAUUCCGAAUCACCUUCCAAAUAGAUUAGUCGGAUCGAGGUCUCUUGCAGAGGUUAAGAUUGGGGAACUAUCACAUAGUUGCCUCAUUGAUUCAGGGUCUCAGGUUACCACAAUUUCAAAAUCAUUUCAGUUGACCCACUUACCUUCUCAUCCUCUUUUGCCAUUAAAUGAUUUGUUAGAAAUUGAAGGUGCUGCAGGCCAAAUUGUCCCUUAUCUUGGGUACAUUGAAGUUGACAUCACCUUCCCACAGAGUUUCACAGGGAAGGACAGAGUUGUAACUAUUCUAGCUUUAAUUGUCCCAGAUCACAGAGCAAAUUCAGAAAUUCCAGUCCUCAUUGGUACAAAUGCCCUCGACGUCUUGUAUGAGGACUUCAAUGAGCAAAUGACCAUUCCUGAGCAUUGUACUUAUGCCCCUCUCCUUAGACAUCUGUAUGCUAUCUACAGGAGUAAAACAAAAACUGAUAGUUUUGUGGGGACAGUCAAGUCACAAUGUAAAACCAACAUAGUAAUUCCAGCUGGUCAGAAAAUAGCCUUAAAUGGACGUGUCAGAAAUGUCUGUGCAGGCCCUGGAUCCACUCUUCUAGUCGAGCCCCACAGCCAGUCCAGCCUACCAGGUGGCUUGAUAUUUUCCAGCUAUGUAAUGUCAAGGCCACGACAGACAUCCUUCAAAGUUCCCAUUCUCCUAAAAAACGAGACAACGCAUGAUAUUAUUCUGCCAGCUCACCGUCCUUUGGCAGAGAUAUCUGUCCCACUUUCAGUUUCUCCUGCGAGGUCUGAAUGUAUGAAUCGAACUGGAAGUUCAGAGCAGAAACAUGCUCAGUGUUACACCACCCACAAAGUAAAAUCAAGUGACAAAAUCCAGUUUGAUUUUGGUGACUCACCCCUGUCAAACGAGUGGAAAGAUAGGAUUGCUGAGAAGCUGAAUUCCGUGUCUGAUGUUUUUGCUAGGGGUGAACUUGAUUAUGGUCACACCACAGUGGUGAGACAUAAGAUUCGGCUCUCUGAUCCAACGCCUUUUAAACAGAGGCCAAGGCCCAUUCAUCCCUCUGAUUAUGAAGCUGUCCGCCUUCAUUUGGAGCAGCUGUGCGACAGCAACAUUAUUAGAGAGUCCGAGAGCCCAUUUGCUUCACCAAUUGUAGUUGUGAAAAAGAAAAAUGGGCAGAUCCGCCUAUGUGUGGAUUACAGAAAGUUGAACAACCAGACGAUCAAAGACGCUUAUGCCUUGCCCAAUAUAGAAGAGGCAUUUACAGCUCUGUCAGGAUCCAAAUGGUUUUCCGUUAUGGAUUUAAAGUCUGGAUAUUACCAGGUAGAGGUGGAAGAAGAGGAUAAACACAAGACGGCUUUUGUCACACCCAUGGGGUUUUGGGAAUUCAACAGGAUGCCCCAAGGAGUCACUAAUGCUCCAAGCACUUUUCAAAGAGUUAUGGAGAAAUGCAUGGGCUCCAUGAACCUCAAGGAAGUACUGGUCUUUAUUGAUGAUCUUAUAGUGUUCUCCAAUACUUUGGAGGAACAUGAAGAAAGGCUCCUGCGAGUUCUGAACAGAUUGAAAGAAUUUGGUCUCAAACUUUCACCUGAGAAAUGUCACUUUUUCCAAAAGUCAGUGAGGUAUUUAGGACACAUUGUCUCAGAACAGGGAGUGGAGACCGAUCCUGAUAAAAUCUCUGCACUCACCACAUGGCCCAGACCCACAAACCUGUCAGAACUGAAGUCAUUUUUAGGCUUCACCGGCUAUUAUCGCAGGUUUGUCAAAGACUAUUCUAAAAUUGCUAGGCCAUUGAAUGAUUUGACAGCUGGUUAUGUCCCUGCCAAGAAGCUGAAACACCACAAAUCAUCAUCAAACAGCGACCUGAACCGUCCUUUUAAUGAGAAAUGGACUCCCUCAUGUGAGGAAGCUUUCAAGACCCUCAUUGAGAAGUUGACAUCUGCACCAGUGCUUGGGUUUGCUGACCCCAGAAAAGCCUAUGUUUUACACACCGAUGCUAGUUCACAUGGACUUGGUGCAGCUCUAUACCAGGAAGAUGAUGGUCGGUUAAGAGUCAUCGCCUAUGCUAGCAGAGGGCUGUCUAACUGUGAAAGAAGGUACCCCACUCACAAACUUGAAUUUCUUGCGUUGAAGUGGGCAAUUACAGACAAGUUUGCUGAUUAUUUGUAUGGAGCUGACUUCACUGUCAUGACUGACAAUAACCCACUGACCUACGUGUUAACGUCUGCUAAACUUGAUGCAACUGGACAUCGAUGGCUUGCUGCUUUGUCAAAUUUCAAUUUCAACAUACAGUACAGAGCCGGUAAAAGAAAUCAGGAUGCGGAUGGAUUAUCAAGACGGCCACAUGUUUCUGUUGAAACUGAUGACAGUACAACUGCUGAGGAUGAGAGAGUAAAGCAAUUCAUUGCAAAGUUUACAGAAGAGGGAAACAGUGCAACAUUUCCAAAGGAUGCUCUAAAAGCUGUAUGCGAGAAGCACCAAGUAUACAUAUCUCCUGACACUACUUACCACUACUGCCACUACUUACCUGCUGCGGUGGAGUGUUUGGCAGUGGAUGCAAGUGCGAUACCUGACGAGUUUGUUCAAGCCGACAUGCUGACUGGUACUAGCACUCUUCCUCAACUCUCCCAACAAGAUUGGGCUGCAGAACAAAGGCGUGACCCUAUAAUAAGCAGAGUCAUAGACCUUGUCUAUACAGGAAAACGCCUUUCCUAUCGUCUUAGGCAAAAGGAGGAAAGGGAAGUCCAACUAAUGUUAAGAGUACAGGAUCAGUUGUCUCUAAUAAAUAAUGUUUUGUACCGGAAGCGAGUGAGCCAGGGCCAGACUCUUUUUCAACUAGUGCUUCCGAAGGAGUACAGAGAAGUAGCUCUUGAAAGUCUUCAUGAUGCAGUAGGUCACAUGGGAUUUGAAAGAACUGUUGACCUUGUGAGAACACGUUUCUUUUGGCCCCGAAUGUUCCUAGAUGUUGAAAUGAAAAUCAGAACAUGUGAAAGGUGCAUCCGCCGCAAGGCUAGAGCUGAGAAAUCUGCUCCACUGGUAAAUAUUAAAACCAGUCGACCACUUGAGUUGGUGUGCAUGGACUAUUUGUCUCUAGAACCUGAUAGCCGAGGAACAAAGAAUAUUCUGGUGAUAACGGAUCACUUUACGAAGUUUGCUGUUGCAGUGCCAACUCCAGACCAGAAGGAAAGGACCGUUGCCAAGGCCCUGUGGGAAAAAUUCAUCAUUCACUAUGGCAUACCAGAGCGGUUGCAUAGUGAUCAGGGCCGUAAUUUUGAAUCGGCAGUCAUCAAAAACUUAUGCCAAAUGUUAGGCAUCAAGAAAACAAGAACAACCCCCUAUCAUCCCCGUGGUAAUCCAGUAGAACGGUUUAACCGUACACUGCUAGGGAUGCUUGGAACACUCCAAGAAGACGACAAACUAAAAUGGCGUGAUCAUGUGCAGCCAUUGGCUCACGCCUACAAUUGCACAAAAAAUGACACAACUGGGUAUUCACCCUAUCAGCUCAUGUUUGGGAGACAGCCAAAUCUUCCAAUUGAUGUGGCUUUUGGACUUAAUGUGAGUAGGCAGGACAGUGUAACUCACAGUGAAUAUGUGAAGAAGCUCAGGGAAAGCCUACAGGAAAGUUACAAACUUGCUGUGGAACAUAGCGAGAAAACUGCCCUACGCAAUAAGUCAAGAUACGAUCUAAAAGUGAGAGAAUCCACCUUGGAGGUUGGAGAUCGUGUUCUUGUCAAGAAUGUUGGAAUACGAGGGAAACACAAACUAGCUGACAGAUGGAGUCAGACAGUCUACAAAGUUGUAAAACAGAUCAAUGACUCUCCUGUAUAUGUUGUUGCUCCACUCAUGUCAGAUGGGCCUGAGAGGACACUGCAUAGAGACUUACUGUUACCAUGUGGGUUUCUGUCAUGCUCAGUGCCAAACGAACCCAGUCAUGGAAGUCCAGAGAAAGAGACACCCAAAGGUGACAUCUCUAAAGAGAAUCCAUUUUCUGAAGUUGAAGGAGACUAUCAUUAUCUGGGUGAUAAUGACAUUGUGGCUUAUGACUUUCCAGUAGUUUACGAAGAAGUCAAUUACCCGGCUUUCACUACUAUCAGUGAAAUCCCCAAAGCAACUGAGUCUGUGUCAGAACAAAGUGUGGACCGAGACGAGUCUGAUCUAAACCCUGCAGUAGAGGAGUUUCAUUCUGCACCCGUGGAGCUGGAUGAGGGUGAUGGUUCACUUCACGGUUCUAGUGGAAAUGACAUUGGAAAUGACGCUCCAAUGAAAGAAACAGGUGUUAUUGUUAAUGAGGAAUAUUCAUCUGUUCACGAUUCAUGUGCUGAUAUAGAUCCAGCCACAGAAAAUGAUGUUGAACCUCUGAGAGAGGUUAUUGACGUAACUCGGGAGCAGUACCAAACUGAACCAACCGGGUUGUCGGAUGGAAAAGAGGAGAGUGAUGGAGAUGGAUUGGAGGCAGAGGUUGCUAAAGAUGAAAACCCCCCAGAAACAAGAGAAAUCAAGCGGUCAACUAGGAACAGGACUGAACCUAGCAGACUAACCUACAACACCUUGGGAAAUCCCUUAACAUUAGUGAUGCAUUCUCUUUUAAACAGUCUUGAUCAGGUUUUUUCACAUGCCCUUGACUCAAACCCUUCCCCAUGUGUUGGUAGAGUAAAAACCAUUUAAAGUGAUUGCUGUCAUGCAGGGAUGCAUGCCCAUUUAGGGGGGGAGGGAUGUAACCCACCUGAAAUUUGCCUCAUGAAAAUGAACUGCUGUUCCCAAAGAAUGUCAGUAGGUGGCACUAUGAGAUUGUUUAGUGCUUGUGAACUUGAGUUGAUACAGAGAAGGAGAAUAGCGCUAAGGCUACGUAUGUUGGUCGGAGCUACUCACCGAGAGUUCUUUAAUCCUUGUUCAAGAAAAAGGUUAUGUGUGAAGACACAAAUUGGAUUUCACUCUUCCGCUUGUUGGGAAACGCGGACACUUUUUGUUGAUGCCGAUGUACCUCUGUUUUUGUGGUUUUUGUUCAUUUCCGGUUGGUUUUUUUGUUGGAGUCUAAAGUUGCGAGCCAGGAUUCCGGAUCCCCAGCUGCAAUGCAGGAAAGGUUUCCAGCCUACUUAGAAGUGACAACUGCGUUACUUCUUGACAGAUAAGCUUAUGAGAUCUCAGAACAAUACACUACCCGGGUAGUACUACUAACAUUAACACUACACACACUCACACACCUGAACUGAAAAGACUGAAAAGAACUCUGAACUCUGAACUCUGAACUCUAAACUGAAUACACGGACUGACAAAUAUGGACUAUUGGAACUGUUGUGAACUGUUGAAUGACUGUUUUUGUUUUUGUUUUGAAUAAAUGUUGACUGUUCUUUUAGCUGUGUGUCAUUCGCUCCUUAGUCGAUUCCUAGAGAACAUAAGCCCAAGAUCCUAACUUUCUCUACAUUCAGUAGUGGUAAAGUAUCGUGUGUUACAUAUGGAAUAAGAAUACUAGCAUACAGUAAUAUACAGUAGGAUAGUGCAAAUAUAACAUCAAAUAACUCUAACGAAGUAACAAUAUAACUAUAAGUAAUAUCCUGAAAAAUAAAUAGCUUAGCUAUCAGUGCAGGUGAUUCUAAAAGUGGCAUAGUAUUGUGCAUAUGAAUAAAAGAGAGUAGCAGCAUAUGAUGGGGAGAUGAAACAAACAUUCGAUGAAAAACUGUUGGGUUAAAUUGCACAGUCUGAAUGGGAACAGAAUAAGUUUGUUAUUAAUCCUCAGGAAAAUCACAUGCAGUGCAAGGAAGAGUUGUACAGUCUUAUUGCCACCGUUUCGAAGGAUUUCCUGUGGCAGUCAGUUCUGCAUUUCGGGGCGAUGAGUCUUUUGCUGCGUGUGCUCUGAUGGUCCAUCAUGGAGGCGUGCAUGGGGUGGGAGGGGUUGUCCAUGAUACAAAGAAGUUUUUUUAGCAUUCUCCUCUCAGACACCUCCUCCAGGUUCUCCAGUCUGAGACCCAGGACAAGUCCUGGUCCUUUGCCUUUUCUUUUCUUUUCUUUUUUUCUUUUGCUACAUUUUCUGAUGGCUUCUUUAGACCACAUCCUUGUUAUCGCAGGAAGACAGCCAAAAAGCACUGAGAUCCGAACUUGCCCUACCGCUAUGGACUGAUGUUUCAGCCUUACUACAAGUUGUUCUGCAGUGUAUUAAGAAGUGUUUAAAGCUGUGUCUUCAGCCAUAAUCACUGUCUUCCACUGAAGCUGUGGAACAACUACAUCUUAAUGAUGUUUUACUUUGUUCUUUACCAAUAAUUACAAUACAGGAUUAAUUUUAAAAACAAAUUUACAAUGUAAAAGAUAUCAGUUAGUGUACUGUUGAAUAUAUUUUCAAUAAAAUCAGAAUAAUGCUUUGAUUGCUAAAUUGUUUGGUUACUUGUGUUCUGCAUUUUGUAUCAUUAAAUCAAAAACAGCUUUGUUAUGAGCUGUAAAUUAAACAAACAAAACAGGACAGAAGAAAAUAUCUGCAUUUCAUACAGAUUAUGUGCCUGGUUGAUAAGGAUGGACAAAGUUCAAAGAUUUUUAAACUCCAUAAUACUUUGGACAAAGAUGCAAUUUUUGGAGUUUACCACAGUUUUCCUCACAGUUGAUUUUAAAUCAGUGAAUAUGUGACUGAAGUGCAGGCAUCCAGCUUUCUAUGAAGGAGGUAGGACUAUCAUUGUCAAAGUCGAGGUGGAGGAAAUGUUACAUAAAUGUUUAUUCAUGGUGUGCUGCUGAUAGAAGUAGCAGGAUGAAUUCAACCCACUACUUGUAAGCUAUUGUUAAUGAAGUUUAUGAUUGCUGCGUUUUACAGUAUCACUCCUGUGUAUCUUAGCAACAGUGAUUAUUUGAUGGCAUUGGCUUCUUUUGUGAACAUAUUGCACAAGUGCAAAUGUGCACAUAAAUGAAAGUAAUAUUGAGUCCACUCAAAGUGACCUGAACUUCUCAAGAGAGCGGGGUAUUAAUUCUCUGAGCUGUGGUACUGCAAACUUUGUAAGAAGCCUUUUCUCUGAAUGAAAAAAAGCUUUUCUUGAUCUCAUUAAGACAUCUGCAGUCUAAUGGAUGAUGCUUUGUAUUUAAAGAAUCUUCAUCCAUGAAUGACAGCUUUCUUUCUUUCUCUGCAGCAUGUGGAUUACAGUGCUACAUAUGUGUAUUCUCUGACUCUCACUCCUGCACUGAGAUCUUAACUUGUCCUACUGGUAUGGACCGAUGUUUCAGCCUUACUACAAAUGGUACCGUCACUAAGGGCUGCCAAUUCCCUGACUUAUGUGUCAGUCCUGUGAGCUGCUGUGAAGGGAACUUGUGCAACAGUUCUAUACCAACUGGUCCCAGUGUUAUGUUUCUGCUGGUGUCUUCAGCCAUAAUCACUGUCUUCCUCUGAAGCUUUGGAACAACUACAUCUUAAUCAUGUUUUACUUUGUUCUUAACCAAAAAUUACAAUCAGGAAUAUUUUUUUUAAAAAUUCACAAUGUAAAAGAUGUUAGUUACUGUACUGUUGGAUAUAUUUUCAAUAUAAUCAGAAUAAUGCUUUGAAUUGUUUAAUUAAAUCAAAAACAGA
Molecule: long non-coding RNA, 10057 nt
Organism: Oreochromis niloticus (Nile tilapia)
Lineage: Eukaryota; Metazoa; Chordata; Actinopteri; Cichliformes; Cichlidae
Product: retrovirus-related Pol polyprotein from transposon 412
Exons: 4
Source: RefSeq, a predicted model, not a curated record